This 372-nucleotide ribosomal RNA is filed under the name uncultured organism. Its description in RNAcentral is "bacterial SSU rRNA". It matches the Rfam family "Bacterial small subunit ribosomal RNA", at positions 526 to 896 of the family's 1533-position model. The record is from RNAcentral.
CAGAGACUGCAAGCGUUAUUCGGAUUCACUGGGCGUAAAGGGUGCGCAGGCGGUCGUGUGUGUCAGGUGUGAAAUCCCGGAGCUUAACUCCGGAACUGCGCCUGAAACUACACGACUAGAGCAUUGGAGAGGGAAGUGGAAUUCAUGGUGUAGCAGUGAAAUGCGUAGAUAUCAUGAGGAACACCAGAGGCGAAGGCGACUUCCUGGACAAUUGCUGACGCUCAGGCACGAAAGCAUGGGGAGCAAAAGGGAUUAGAUACCCCUGUAGUCCAUGCCCUAAACGGUGCACACUAGGUCUUGGAGGAUUCGACCCCUUCAUGGCCCAAGCUAACGCGUUAAGUGUGCCGCCUGAGGACUACGGUCGCAAGACUA